AACGAACGCUGGCGGCAGGCCUAACACAUGCAAGUCGAACGAGACCUUCGGGUCUAGUGGCGCACGGGUGCGUAACGCGUGGGAACCUGCCCUUAGGUUCGGAAUAACUCCCCGAAAGGGGUGCUAAUACCGGAUAAUGUCUUCGGACCAAAGAUUUAUCGCCUUUGGAUGGGCCCGCGUUGGAUUAGCUAGUUGGUAGGGUAAAAGCCUACCAAGGCGACGAUCCAUAGCUGGUCUGAGAGGAUGAUCAGCCACACUGGGACUGAGACACGGCCCAGACUCCUACGGGAGGCAGCAGUGGGGAAUAUUGGACAAUGGGCGAAAGCCUGAUCCAGCAAUGCCGCGUGAGUGAUGAAGGCCUUAGGGUUGUAAAGCUCUUUUACCCGGGAUGAUAAUGACAGUACCGGGAGAAUAAGCUCCGGCUAACUCCGU
Molecule: ribosomal RNA, 432 nt
Filed under: uncultured bacterium
Lineage: Bacteria
Description: partial 16S ribosomal RNA
Rfam family: Bacterial small subunit ribosomal RNA
Source: RNAcentral